GGACCCGCACAAGCGGUGGAUGAUGUGGUUUAAUUCGAUGCAACGCGAAAAACCUUACCUACCCUUGACAUGUCAAGAAUUCUGCAGAGAUGUGGAAGUGCUCGAAAGAGAACUUGAACACAGGUGCUGCAUGGCCGUCGUCAGCUCGUGUCGUGAGAUGUUGGGUUAAGUCCCGCAACGAGCGCAACCCUUGUCAUUAGUUGCUACGAAAGGGCACUCUAAUGAGACUGCCGGUGACAAACCGGAGGAAGGUGGGGAUGACGUCAGGUCCUCAUGGCCCUUAUGGGUAGGGCUACACACGUCAUACAAUGGCCGGUACAGAGGGUUGCCAACCCGCGAGGGGGAGCUAAUCCCAGAAAACCGGUCGUAGUCCGGAUCGUAGUCUGCAACUCGACUGCGUGAAGUCGGAAUCGCUAGUAAUCGCGGAUCAGCUUGCCGCGGUGAAUACGUUCCCGGGUCUU
Molecule: ribosomal RNA, 461 nt
Filed under: uncultured bacterium
Lineage: Bacteria
Description: bacterial SSU rRNA
Rfam family: Bacterial small subunit ribosomal RNA
Source: RNAcentral